ACGGCUCAGUAACACGUGGAUAACCUGCCCAAGGGUCCGGGAUAACCCCGGGAAACUGGGGAUAAUACCGGAUGGAUCACUUAUGCUGGAAUGCUUGGUGGUCGAAAGGUGACGCCCUUGGAUGGGUCUGCGGCGGAUUAGGUUGACGCCGGUGUAACGUACCGGCGUGCCUGUAAUCCGUACGGGUUGUGGGAGCAAGAGCCCGGAGAUGGAUUCUGAGACACGAAUCCAGGCCCUACGGGGCGCAGCAGGCGCGAAAACUCUACAAUGCAGGCAACUGCGAUAGGGGGACAUCGAGUGGCAUCCACCUUGGGUGCCUGUCCCACCGUCUAAAAAACGGUGGUUAGCAAGGGCCGGGCAAGACCGGUGCCAGCCGCCGCGGUAAUACCGGCGGCUCGAGUGGUGGCCGAUAUUAUUGAGUCUAAAGGGUCCGUAGCCGGCUUUGCAAGUCCCCUGGGAAAUCCAGCGGCUUAACCGUUGGGCUUUCAUGGGAUACUACAUUGCUUGGGACUGGGAGAGGUAGGAGGUACUCGGGGGGUAGGGGCGAAAUCCUGUAAUCCCCCGGGGACCACCGGUGGCGAAGGCGUCCUACCAGAACAGGUCCGACGGUGAGGGACGAAAGCUAGGGGCACGAACCGGAUUAGAUACCCGGGUAGUCCUAGCCGUAAACGAUGCCCGCUAGGUGUCACGGCGGUCGUGAAUCGCCGUGGUGCCGUAGGGAAGCCGCGAAGCGGGCCACUUGGGAAGUACGGCCGCAAGGCUGAAACUUAAAGGAAUUGGCGGGGGAGCAC
This 791-nucleotide ribosomal RNA is filed under the name uncultured archaeon. RNAcentral's name for it is "bacterial SSU rRNA". It matches the Rfam family "Archaeal small subunit ribosomal RNA", at positions 85 to 879 of the family's 1478-position model. The record is from RNAcentral.